Molecule: ribosomal RNA, 725 nt
Filed under: uncultured Bacilli bacterium
Lineage: Bacteria; Bacillati; Bacillota; Bacilli
Description: bacterial SSU rRNA
Rfam family: Bacterial small subunit ribosomal RNA
Source: RNAcentral
GAUGAACGCUGGCGGCGUGCCUAAUACAUGCAAGUCGAGCGAACAGACGAGGAGCUUGCUCCUUUGACGUUAGCGGCGGACGGGUGAGUAACACGUGGGUAACCUACCUAUAAGACUGGGAUAACUUCGGGAAACCGGAGCUAAUACCGGAUAAUAUUUCGAACCGCAUGGUUCGAUAGUGAAAGAUGGUUUUGCUAUCACUUAUAGAUGGACCCGCGCCGUAUUAGCUAGUUGGUAAGGUAACGGCUUACCAAGGCGACGAUACGUAGCCGACCUGAGAGGGUGAUCGGCCACACUGGAACUGAGACACGGUCCAGACUCCUACGGGAGGCAGCAGUAGGGAAUCUUCCGCAAUGGGCGAAAGCCUGACGGAGCAACGCCGCGUGAGUGAUGAAGGUCUUCGGAUCGUAAAACUCUGUUAUUAGGGAAGAACAUACGUGUAAGUAACUAUGCACGUCUUGACGGUACCUAAUCAGAAAGCCACGGCUAACUACGUGCCAGCAGCCGCGGUAAUACGUAGGUGGCAAGCGUUAUCCGGAAUUAUUGGGCGUAAAGCGCGCGUAGGCGGUUUUUUAAGUCUGAUGUGAAAGCCCACGGCUCAACCGUGGAGGGUCAUUGGAAACUGUAAAACUUGAGUGCAGAAGAGGAAAGUGGAAUUCCAUGUGUAGCGGUGAAAUGCGCAGAGAUAUGGAGGAACACCAGUGGCGAAGGCGACUUUCUGGUCU